AGUCUAGCAUGUAUGGGGGCGGCCCCCUGGUGCGCUCACCCUCCUUUAGAGGGAGCAGAGCGUCCCGCACAGCACGGAACUGAGUCAACGCAUUUCUCAGAAGAAGGGCAGGGCGCUCGGUGGCUGGUCCCCGCAAGAAGGCUGUUGUUAGUGCUGCUACUAGCCAGUUGCUCACCUAGCUGAAGCGGUCAGCUGAUCCAACAACUUUAUGUAUCCGUGUUAAAUCUCUUAGUUUUUGUGCAUUUCAUUUGUUUGACGCUGAUUCUCCGUUGGCCGUCCAGCAAACGAAAAUGUCCGAGCCUACGGUGGCCGAUACUCGCCGGUUGCAUUCCAAGCCCCAGGACCUGACAGACGCCUACGGUCCGCCGAGCAAUUUUCUGGAAAUUGACGUUUAUGAUCCACAAACUGUGGGAGUCGGACGCACCCGUUACACAACAUACGAAGUUCGCAUGAGGACAAACCUUCCCAUCUUCAAGCUGAAGGACUCCUGUGUGAGAAGAAGAUACAGCGACUUUGAGUGGCUGAAGAAUGAGUUGGAACGAGACAGUAAGAUUGUAGUUCCCCCUCUGCCAGGUAAGGCCCUGAAAAGACUGCUGCCGUUCAGAGGAGACGAGGGCAUCUUCGAGGAGUCCUUCAUCGAGGAGCGGCGAGUGGGCCUGGAGCAGUUCAUCAACAGAAUUGCCGGCCACCCGUUGGCCCAGAAUGAGCGGUGUCUUCACAUGUUUCUACAGGAGGAAGGCAUUGACCGCAACUACAUUCCCGGAAAAGUAUGAAUAAAGUAAGGGUUACUUUAUUUUUGACAUCCCAUAUGCUUCGAUGCCCAGAGCGUCUGGAUGGCCGGGCGUACCCAUGUACAUUAUCUUCUACAUCGUGUCAUGCGCUGCAAUGUGUGGUAAUGCCAGAAACGAUGAGAGUCAGAGAUAUCGGAUAUCUCCCAUUUGUUCUGGUUUUGAAGCAAGUAGGAAAUCAAAUAUAUGAAUCGUAUGAUAUUUCUUUACUAGGCAUUCUAUAUACAUCAUUUGAACUAUAAUUAACAGGUUUGAGAAUUCGCCACACAGUUGUGUUGUCCCACCACAGCUAUAAUCUAUUCUAUGUUUGUUUUUACAAAGAAUAUUACAUUGUAAUGAAUGUCUUUUGUUUCCAGAUGUAUUCAAAGCCAUUCCUGUUUUAGUCCAUCUGUUCCAUUUCGCUUUCAGAGCUUGGCUGUUGAUUUAAUACCAUCCAAAGUGGAGCGACAUGUAGCAUUAUUAAAGAUAAGACAGUACAAUGAGUCCCACCUUUAUCCAAAUGUUUGCUUUGUUUUUGUUUAAUGGCCUCUUUGGUUUCCCCACGCCGUCUUGGUAUAAUCAUACGUUUUGGCUGUUAAAAACACUAUUGGACAUGUUGAGUAAGGUAAACACCAUAUCUAAGCACUGUGACAAACUUAUUUUGAACACAAACAUCUCCUUCAUUUACCUGAAACACAGCUGUAUAUGCUCUUAUUUCCAGCUUUUUAUAUAUUUUUAAUGAAUGUUAUUACAAAUCAUAUUAAUACAUUGAGUCAUGGCAACCGCCCAUGUUUCUAUUCACCAAUAAAGUUCCUGCUGCCUGC
Molecule: RNA transcript, 1591 nt
Organism: Gadus macrocephalus (Pacific cod)
Lineage: Eukaryota; Metazoa; Chordata; Actinopteri; Gadiformes; Gadidae
Gene: snx12
Gene name: sorting nexin 12
Exons: 6
Source: RefSeq, a predicted model, not a curated record